RNAcentral lists this ribosomal RNA (492 nucleotides) under uncultured bacterium. RNAcentral describes it as "partial 16S ribosomal RNA". It matches the Rfam family "Bacterial small subunit ribosomal RNA", at positions 29 to 507 of the family's 1533-position model. The record is from RNAcentral.
AGUGAACGCUGGCGGUAGGCCUAACACAUGCAAGUCGAACGGCAGCACAGUAAGAGCUUGCUCUUACGGGUGGCGAGUGGCGGACGGGUGAGGAAUACAUCGGAAUCUACUUUUUCGUGGGGGAUAACGUAGGGAAACUUACGCUAAUACCGCAUACGACCUACGGGUGAAAGCAGGGGAUCUUCGGACCUUGCGCGAUUGAAUGAGCCGAUGUCGGAUUAGCUAGUUGGCGGGGUAAAGGCCCACCAAGGCGACGAUCCGUAGCUGGUCUGAGAGGAUGGUCAGCGACCCUGGAACUGAGACACGGUCCAGACUCCUACGGGAGGCCGCAGUGGGGAAUAUUGGACAAUGGGCGCAAGCCUGGUCCAGCCAUACCGCGUGGGUGAAGAAGGCCUUCGGGUUGUAAAGCCCUUUUGUUGGGAAAGAAAAGCAGCAGGUUAAUACCCCGCUGUUCUGACGGUACCCAAAGAAUAAGCACCGGCUAACUUCGUG